This 1346-nucleotide ribosomal RNA is filed under the name uncultured bacterium. Its description in RNAcentral is "partial 16S ribosomal RNA". It matches the Rfam family "Bacterial small subunit ribosomal RNA", at positions 28 to 1381 of the family's 1533-position model. The record is from RNAcentral.
GACGAACGCUGGCGGCGUGCUUAACACAUGCAAGUCGAACGGAAAGGCCCUGCUUUUGUGGGGUGCUCGAGAGGCGAACGGGUGAGUAACACGUGAGUAACCUGCCCUUGACUUUGGGAUAACUUCAGGAAACUGGGGCUAAUACCGGAUAGGAGCUCCUGCUGCAUGGUGGGGGUUGGAAAGUUUCGGCGGUUGGGGAUGGACUCGCGGCUUAUCAGCUUGUUGGUGGGGUAGUGGCUUACCAAGGCUUUGACGGGUAGCCGGCCUGAGAGGGUGACCGGCCACAUUGGGACUGAGAUACGGCCCAGACUCCUACGGGAGGCAGCAGUGGGGAAUAUUGCACAAUGGGCGGAAGCCUGAUGCAGCAACGCCGCGUGCGGGAUGACGGCCUUCGGGUUGUAAACCGCUUUCGCCUGUGACGAAGCGUGAGUGACGGUAAUGGGUAAAGAAGCACCGGCUAACUACGUGCCAGCAGCCGCGGUGAUACGUAGGGUGCGAGCGUUGUCCGGAUUUAUUGGGCGUAAAGGGCUCGUAGGUGGUUGAUCGCGUCGGAAGUGUAAUCUUGGGGCUUAACCCUGAGCGUGCUUUCGAUACGGGUUGACUUGAGGAAGGUAGGGGAGAAUGGAAUUCCUGGUGGAGCGGUGGAAUGCGCAGAUAUCAGGAGGAACACCAGUGGCGAAGGCGGUUCUCUGGGCCUUUCCUGACGCUGAGGAGCGAAAGCGUGGGGAGCGAACAGGCUUAGAUACCCUGGUAGUCCACGCUGUAAACGGUGGGUACUAGGUGUGGGGUCCAUUCCACGGGUUCCGUGCCGUAGCUAACGCUUUAAGUACCCCGCCUGGGGAGUACGGCCGCAAGGCUAAAACUCAAAGGAAUUGACGGGGCCCCGCACCAGCGGCGGAGCAUGCGGAUUAAUUCGAUGCAACGCGUAGAACCUUACCUGGGUUUGACAUGGAUCGGGAGUGCUCAGAGAUGGGUGUGCCUCUUUUGGGGUCGGUUCACAGGUGGUGCAUGGCUGUCGUCAGCUCGUGUCGUGAGAUGUUGGGUUAAGUCCCGCAACGAGCGCAACCCUUGUUCACUGUUGCCAGCACGUUAUGGUGGGGACUCAGUGGAGACCGCCGGGGUCAACUCGGAGGAAGGUGGGGAUGACGUCAAGUCAUCAUGCCCCUUAUGUCCAGGGCUUCACGCAUGCUACAAUGGCUGGUACAGAGAGUGGCGAGCCUGUGAGGGUGAGCGAAUCUCGGAAAGCCGGUCUCAGUUCGGAUUGGGGUCUGCAACUCGACCUCAUGAAGUCGGAGUCGCUAGUAAUCGCAGAUCAGCAACGCUGCGGUGAAUACGUUCCCGGGGCU